GGUAGGGUGGCUGAAUUAAGUGUGGGACUGUAAAUCUCAAUAUGGAGCUAGAAGCUCCCCCUGCCAAAAA
Molecule: transfer RNA, 70 nt
Filed under: Acanthodactylus aureus
Lineage: Eukaryota; Metazoa; Chordata; Lepidosauria; Squamata; Lacertidae
Description: tRNA-Tyr
Rfam family: tRNA
About the family: Transfer RNA (tRNA) molecules are approximately 80 nucleotides in length.
Source: RNAcentral